GACGGGUGAGUAAUGCCUAGAAUCUGCCUGGUAGUGGGGGAUAACGUCGGAAACGGACGCUAAUACCGCAUACGUCCUACGGGAGAAAGCAGGGGACCUUCGGGCCNUUGCGCUAUCAGAUGAGCCUAGGUCGGAUUAGCUAGUUGGUGGGGUAAUGGCUCACCAAGGCGACGAUCCGUAACUGGUCUGAGAGGAUGAUCAGUCACACUGGAACUGAGACACGGUCCAGACUCCUACGGGAGGCAGCAGUGGGGAAUAUUGGACAAUGGGCGAAAGCCUGAUCCAGCCAUGCCGCGUGUGUGAAGAAGGUCUUCGGAUUGUAAAGCACUUUAAGUUGGGAGGAAGGGUUGUAGAUUAAUACUCUGCAAUUUUGACGUUACCGACAGAAUAAGCACCGGCUAACUCUGUGCCAGCAGCCGCGGUAAUACAGAGGGUGCAAGCGUUAAUCGGAAUUACUGGGCGUAAAGCGCGCGUAGGUGGUUAGUUAAGUUGGAUGUGAAAUCCCCGGGCUCAACCUGGGAACUGCAUUCAAAACUGACUGACUAGAGUAUGGUAGAGGGUGGUGGAAUUUCCUGUGUAGCGGUGAAAUGCGUAGAUAUAGGAAGGAACACCAGUGGCGAAGGCGACCACCUGGACUGAUACUGGCACUGAGGUGCGAUAGCGUGGGGAGCAAAC
RNAcentral lists this ribosomal RNA (675 nucleotides) under uncultured bacterium. RNAcentral's name for it is "bacterial SSU rRNA". It matches the Rfam family "Bacterial small subunit ribosomal RNA", at positions 100 to 773 of the family's 1533-position model. The record is from RNAcentral.